Juglans microcarpa x Juglans regia is the source of this 306-nucleotide long non-coding RNA. RefSeq lists it as uncharacterized. The transcript is spliced from 2 exons. The record is from RefSeq and is a predicted model, not a curated record. Lineage: Eukaryota; Viridiplantae; Streptophyta; Magnoliopsida; Fagales; Juglandaceae.
CACUGUAAAGCCCCUAGCCAUUCUCAAUCUCUGUAUCUAGAAAAAGUGUCAUGCAAUCGCCAAUAACAAGCCUACAUUUGUAGCAAUACUUUUGUGGAGUCAAAUGGUCAUCCGUACUUUUUUUAUUUGGUUAUCGAUCUACUUAUUUAAAUUUUAGCAGCCUCCCUUGAACGUGUUAUUUAAUGUGUAGAUAAUGAAUUGCCAUAAUCCCUAAGUGCGAUGUCACAAAAGUGCGUGAACGUAGAGAUUGCAGGCUUAUAAUUUUUUGGCAAGAGCCCAGAAUAGAGAACAUGUUGUUGGGUUGGA